RNAcentral lists this ribosomal RNA (563 nucleotides) under Alternaria alternata. RNAcentral's name for it is "eukaryotic LSU rRNA". The stretch from base 206 to 359 matches the Rfam family "5.8S ribosomal RNA". The record is from RNAcentral. Lineage: Eukaryota; Fungi; Ascomycota; Dothideomycetes; Pleosporales; Pleosporaceae.
UAACAAGGUCUCCGUAGGUGAACCUGCGGAGGGAUCAUUACACAAAUAUGAAGGCGGGCUGGAACCUCUCGGGGUUACAGCCUUGCUGAAUUAUUCACCCUUGUCUUUUGCGUACUUCUUGUUUCCUUGGUGGGUUCGCCCACCACUAGGACAAACAUAAACCUUUUGUAAUUGCAAUCAGCGUCAGUAACAAAUUAAUAAUUACAACUUUCAACAACGGAUCUCUUGGUUCUGGCAUCGAUGAAGAACGCAGCGAAAUGCGAUAAGUAGUGUGAAUUGCAGAAUUCAGUGAAUCAUCGAAUCUUUGAACGCACAUUGCGCCCUUUGGUAUUCCAAAGGGCAUGCCUGUUCGAGCGUCAUUUGUACCCUCAAGCUUUGCUUGGUGUUGGGCGUCUUGUCUCUAGCUUUGCUGGAGACUCGCCUUAAAGUAAUUGGCAGCCGGCCUACUGGUUUCGGAGCGCAGCACAAGUCGCACUCUCUAUCAGCAAAGGUCUAGCAUCCAUUAAGCCUUUUUUUCAACUUUUGACCUCGGAUCAGGUAGGGAUACCCGCUGAACUUAAGCA